CCGUAUCACGUGGAGCGGUGUCAUCCGAUGCGCAACAGAUAGUUUUGCGGCGAGCGUAAACGAUAUACGGAUUUGACCAAACCGGCAGAGUCAAAGAUGCUCAAUGAAAAUGUCGACGUAAACAUGGGCGGGAUGGCUCUGUCGACGAACCGGAGCAAUCCGGUCGCAGAUCGAUUCGGGGCGUCGGACCGACGCGCGAUUAAGGUGGGACCUAAGCCGGGCUUUGUUAUGCCGCAGGGGACUCGACUGCAUUAAUCGUGUCUGCAGCACGCCCUCCGGCGUGCUCGGCAUCGCUGCUCAGAGCGUCGGCAUGUGGCUCCCCAUUCGACCCGUCUUGAAGCACUGACCAAGGAUGUCUGACAUUGUGCGAGGCUCACGGGUGUGUAAACCCGAUAAGGCGCAAGGAAGCUAUGGCUGGAUCCCUCACGGGUGCCAGCCGACCGGCCUUGUUAUUCUGAGAAGGGCUCGAGCUGUGCAGCAUUACUGUCGGGACCCGAACGAUGGUGAACUAUGCCUGAGCGGGGCGAAGCAGACGGAAACUCUGGUGGACGGCCCGCAGCGAUACUACGUGCAAAUCGUUCGUCUCGACUUGGGUAUAGGGGCGAAGACUAAUCGACCAUCUAGUGCUGGGUUCCCUCCGAAGUUUCCCUCAGGAUAGCUGGAGCUCGGAAAGAGUUCUAUCGGUAAAGCAAUGAUUAGAGGCAUCUGGGGACGCAAUGUCCUCGACCAUAUUUCAACUUUAAAUAUGUAGGACGGGGUGGUUGCUUUUUUGAGCCAUCCCACGGAAUCGAGAGCUCAAGGGGGGCAUUUUUGUAAGCAGAACUGGCGAUGCGGAUGAACCGGAAGCCGGGUAUACGGUGCCCCAACUGCGCGCUAACCUAGAACCCCAAAGGGUGUUGGUCGAUUAAGAGCAGAGGGACGGUGGUCAUGGAAAUCGAAAUCCCAAUGAGAGUGUGUAACAACUCACCUGCCAAAUCAACUAGCCCGAAAAUGGAUGCGCGCGAAGCAGGCGAGUCCUAUACCGCCGUUCGGGGCAAGAGCCCAGGCCUCGAAUGAGUAGAGAGGGCAGGCGGGAUCGCUGACAAAACCUAGGGCGCGAGCCGGGCGGGCCGUCGGUGAUCACGAUCUUGGUGGAGUAGUAGCAGAUAUUCAAAUGAGAACUUUGAAGGCGAAGAGGGAAAGGUUCCAUGUGACCAGCUACUGCUUUGCACAUGGGUUGAGCGGACCUAAGAGUCCGAGGGGGAAACCCGUCUGUGAUGCGCUAUUGCGCAAAACCUUCGAAAGGGGAUCCGGUUAAAUUCCGGAACGGGACGUGGCGUUGGGAACGGCACGUUAGGAAGUCUGGAGACGUCGGCGGAAUUCCGGAAAUAGGUUAUCUUUACUGUUUAACAGCCUGCCCACCCUGAAAACGGCUCAGCGGAGUAGGUCCAGCGGCUGGAAGAGCAACCGCACGUCGCAUGGUGUCCGAUGUCAUUCCCGCCGGCCCAUUGAAAAUGCGGAGGACCAGUGCGCUCACCGCUACGUCCGGACGUAACAAUACGCAUUCAUGUCUCCAAGUGAACAGCGUCAUGGUGCGAUGGAUGACAAUAUAGGCAAGGGAAAGAUCGGCAAAAUGGAUGUAACUUCAGAGAAAGAUUGGCGGUCUUGAGUGGACCUGGGCUCGGGUGCCAGUUCCCGCGCGACUGUGGCGGCUGCUUCGAAACUGCAACGUGCAGAGACGCUGGAGCUGUGUGUCGCGGAGACUGGGGAGCAUUUGGAGUUCCCGGCGUCACACAAUCAGAACGUACAAGGGAAUCGACGUUUAAUUAAAACAAAAGCAUUGCGUAGAUGGCCGUAGCGCAGAUGCUAAACGCAGUGUGAUUUCUGCCAGUGCUUCUGAAUGUCAAAGUGAAAAAUUCACACAAGCGCGGGUAAACGGCGGGAGUAACUAUGACUUCUCUUAAGGUACCAAAAUCCUCGUCAUCUAAUGUAGGAAGCCAUGAAUGGAUUUAACUGAGAUUCCCACAUGAUCCCAUGGUCUACUAUUCCACGGAAAGACACAGCCAAGGGAGACACGGGUCUUUGGCACGAAUCGCGGGAAAGAAGGGUGAGUUGAUCACACUUUGAACUUGAGAGGUGUGUGGCUCGGCAGUGAAUACUCUUUUAACGUAUUCCUGAAUCACGGUACUUUGACACUCGCUUGGCGGUCAUCGGGCGGAGGACAUUGUCGGGUUGGGGUGUUUGGCUGGGUGGCACAUUCUGUUAAAAGAUACGCAGGUGUCCUAAGAUUAGCUCAACCGAGAACAGAAUUCUCGUGUGGAACAAAAGGGUAAGAGCGAUUUGAUUCUGAUUUUCAGUACGAAUACGAACCCGUGAAAGCGUGGCCUAGCGAUCCUUUAGACCUUCGGGAUUUUAAGCUAGAGGUGUCAGAAAAGUUGCCAACAGGGAUAACUUGGCUUGUGGACAGCCCAAGCGUUCAUAGGAACGUUGUUUUUAUCCUUCGAUGUCGCUCUUCCUAUCAUAUGUGUCAAGCGAGAUUCCACCAGCGUUGGAUGUGUUGUUCACCGAUCCACACAAGGGAACGUGAGCUGGGGUUGAGACCGUCGUGAGCCAGGUUAGUUUUACCCUACUGAUGCCCGCGUGGCAAUAGUAAUUCAACCUAGUACGAGAGUAACCGUUGAUUCGCACAAUUGGUACUCGCGCUUGGUUGAAAAGCAGUGGCGCGAAGCUACCGUGCGCGUGAUUAUGACUGAACGCCUCAAAGUCAGAAUCUGGGCUAAAAGCGACGCAUGCGCCCGCCGCCCGAAUGCCGACCCUCAGUAGGAGCUUCGGCUCCAAAGGCACGUGUCGUUGGCUAAGUCCGUUCGGUGGAAGCGCUGUUCGGACCGCCUUGAAUUCUAAUUACCACCGACUGGCGGGUAGAAUCCUUUGGAGACGACUUAAAUAAGCGAACGGGGAUUGUAAGUGGCAGAGUGGCCUUGCUGUCAUGAUCCACUGAGAUUCAGCCUUUUGUCGCUAAGAUUCGACCUCCCCCUUUC
Molecule: ribosomal RNA, 3017 nt
Filed under: Brassica rapa (field mustard)
Lineage: Eukaryota; Viridiplantae; Streptophyta; Magnoliopsida; Brassicales; Brassicaceae
Description: eukaryotic LSU rRNA
Rfam family: Eukaryotic large subunit ribosomal RNA
Source: RNAcentral